UCUUGAUGAUGACACCGUUUGAAACUGAGCAGCUUGUAGUUGCUCAAUUGAUCUGAUUUUCAAGACGGGACUGAUUUUGAGAUUU
This is a small nucleolar RNA of Sinocyclocheilus anshuiensis, 85 nucleotides long. Its record names the gene SNORD21. It matches the Rfam family "Small nucleolar RNA SNORD21". From Rfam's summary of the family: U21 is a member of the C/D class of snoRNA which contain the C (UGAUGA) and D (CUGA) box motifs. U21 is encoded within an intron of the gene for ribosomal protein L5 in mammals, but within introns of the ADP ribosylation factor gene in Drosophila. U21 snoRNA has a 13 nt region of complementarity with an invariant region of eukaryotic 28S ribosomal RNA. NCBI's taxonomy places the organism in Eukaryota, Metazoa, Chordata, Actinopteri, Cypriniformes, Cyprinidae. The record is from Ensembl.